RNAcentral lists this ribosomal RNA (468 nucleotides) under uncultured bacterium. Its description in RNAcentral is "partial 16S ribosomal RNA". It matches the Rfam family "Bacterial small subunit ribosomal RNA", at positions 28 to 507 of the family's 1533-position model. The record is from RNAcentral.
GACGAACGCUGGCGGCGUGCUUAACACAUGCAAGUCGAGCGGAAAGGCCCUGCGUUUGUGGGGUGCUCGAGUGGCGAACGGGUGAGUAACACGUGAGUAACCUGCCCUUGACUUUGGGAUAACUUCAGGAAACUGGGGCUAAUACCGGAUAGGAGCUACUGCUGCAUGGUGGGGGUUGGAAAAUGUCGGCGGUUGGGGAUGGACUCGCGGGUUAUCAGCUUGUUGGUGGGGUAGUGGAUUACCAAGGCUUUGACGGGUAGCCGGCCUGAGAGGGUGACCGGCCACAUUGGGACUGAGAUACGGCCCAGACUCCUACGGGAGGCAGCAGUGGGGAAUAUUGCACAAUGGGCGGAAGCCUGAUGCAGCAACGCCGCGUGCGGGAUGACGGCCUUCGGGUUGUAAACCGCUUUCGCCUGUGACGAAGCGUGAGUGACGGUAAUGGGUAAAGAAGCACCGGCUAACUACGUG